GCGGGGCCCCGUUCCCAUAGAGACGCGGCCUCGCGGGCCCCGUCCCCAUGGAGACGGGGCUUCCCGCGGGGCCCGCUGAGGGGGCCGGGCGGGGGAAGGGGAAGGGGCCUCACCCCGCCGGUGUUGGCGCCUCCGGUGUGGGUCGGGGCCCGAAAUAUAAUUCGGUCUACAUUUUAUAUGGUAUCUUCAGAAGAAAUUGCAGUCACUCUCAGAAGUUAAUUCUAACCCAGUUAAAGACCGGCAGAAAUUGGAGAGGCAAAGAAAAAAAUGGAAAUCAUCAUACUAAAGUCUUUCUACAGGAAAAAAAAACCCAACAGAUUAGUUAUCAGACUUCAGUGACAAGAACUAAGGUUGUUUAUUCAUCCAACAUUCCUGUCAGCAUAGGAAUUAUAACAGCCAAUCCAGUUCUCAUCUUAAAGAAUCUAGGAAUCUCUUAUUUACAUUAUAUGAAGCACUGA
This 458-nucleotide long non-coding RNA is filed under the name Ornithorhynchus anatinus (platypus). RNAcentral describes it as "lncRNA (ENSOANG00000037281.1)". Lineage: Eukaryota; Metazoa; Chordata; Mammalia; Monotremata; Ornithorhynchidae. The record is from RNAcentral.